Molecule: ribosomal RNA, 625 nt
Filed under: Ciliophora sp.
Lineage: Eukaryota; Ciliophora
Description: SSU rRNA
Rfam family: Eukaryotic small subunit ribosomal RNA
Source: RNAcentral
CUACCAUGGCGAUCACGGGUAACGGAGAAUUAGGGUUCGAUUCCGGAGAGGGAGCCUGAGAAACGGCUACCACUUCUAUGGAAGGCAGCAGGCGCGUAAAUUACCCAAUCCUGACUAAGGGAGGUAGUGACAAGAAAUAUCGAAUCGGGUGUAUACACACUGCGAGUUUGAAAUGAGAACAACCUAAAAAACUUAACGAGGAGCGAUUGGAGGGCAAGUCUGGUGCCAGCAGCCGCGGUAAUUCCAGCUCCGAUAGCGUAUAUUAAAGUUGUUGCAGUUAAAAAGCUCGUAGUUGAACUUCUAAAGCUAGGAUAGUCGCCAAUCGGUUUGACAUGUCCUUCUUUAUCCGCUUUGAUUUAGCAAUACGCACUUUGUUGGGCGAUUGUGUAAUCAAGCAAUUUACUUUGAAAAAAUUAGAGUGUUUCACGCAGGCGAUUUGCUGGAAUACAUUAGCAUGGAAUAAUAGAACACGACCUCUUAGGCAUUUUAUUGGUAUAUGACUGGAGGUAAUGAUUAACAGGGACAGUUGGGGGCAUUAGUAUUGCAUUGUCAGAGGUGAAAUUCAUUGAUUAGUGCAAGACUAACUUAUGCGAAAGCAUUUGCCAAGGAUGUUUUCAUUAAUCAA